Molecule: ribosomal RNA, 442 nt
Filed under: uncultured bacterium
Lineage: Bacteria
Description: partial 16S ribosomal RNA
Rfam family: Bacterial small subunit ribosomal RNA
Source: RNAcentral
CCUACGGGCGGCAGCAGUAGGGAAUCUUUCACAAUGGGCGAAAGCCUGAUGGAGCAACGCCGCGUGCAGGAUGAAGGCCUUCGGGUUGUAAACUGCUUUUAUAAGCGAGAAAUAUGAUGGUAACUUAUGAAUAAGGAUCGGCUAACUACGUGCCAGCAGCCGCGGUCAUACGUAGGAUCCGAGCAUUAUCCGGAGUGACUGGGUGUAAAGAGUUGCGUAGGUGGCAUAAUAAGUAGCUAGUGAAAUCUGGUGGCUCAACCAUUCAGACUAUUAGCUAAAAUGUUAAGCUCGAGACCGUUAGGGGUAACUGGAAUUUCUAGUGUAGGAGUGAAAUCCGUAGAUAUUAGAAGGAACACCAAUAGCGUAGGCAGGUUGCUGGGACGGUUCUGACACUAAGGCACGAAAGCGUAGGGAGCAAACGGGAUUAGAUACCCCAGUAGUC